AUACGUAGGUGGCAAGCGUUGUCCGGAAUUAUUGGGCGUAAAGCGCAUGUAGGCGGUGCCUUAAGUCUGUCGUGAAACUGCGGGGCCUAACCCCGUAUGGCGAUGGAAACUGUGGCACUUGAGUGCAGGAGCGGCAAGGUGAACUCCCCGUGUAGCGGGGAAAUGCGUAGAUAUUGGGAAGAGCACCGGUGGCGAAGGCGCCUUUCUGGACUGUGUCUGACGCUGAGAUGCGAAAGCCAGGGUAGCGAACGGGAUUAGAUACCCCGGUAGUCCUGGCCGUAAACGAUGGGUACUAGGUGUGGGAGGUAUCGACCCCUUCCGUGCCGGAGUUAACGCAAUAAGUCCCCCGCCUGGGGAGUACGGCCGCAAGGCUUAAACUCAAAUGAAUUGACGGGG
This 396-nucleotide ribosomal RNA is filed under the name uncultured bacterium. Its description in RNAcentral is "partial 16S ribosomal RNA". It matches the Rfam family "Bacterial small subunit ribosomal RNA", at positions 523 to 918 of the family's 1533-position model. The record is from RNAcentral.